RNAcentral lists this ribosomal RNA (332 nucleotides) under uncultured Suillaceae. Its description in RNAcentral is "LSU rRNA". It matches the Rfam family "Bacterial large subunit ribosomal RNA", at positions 1773 to 2107 of the family's 2925-position model. Lineage: Eukaryota; Fungi; Basidiomycota; Agaricomycetes; Boletales; Suillaceae. The record is from RNAcentral.
GUGGUGGCACAAAAUCGGAAGCCCCGACUGUUUACUAAAAACACAGCUAUCUGCAACGAUGUAAAUCAUAGUAUAGGUAGUGAGGUUUGCCCGAUGCCAUUAAUAUAAGAGAAGUGAUGGGUAACUGUUAAUUAUCGAAAAUCUGGUUAAUAGCGGUCUUAACUAUGAGGAUCCUAAGGUAGCAAAAUAAAUUGGCCAUUAAAUGUGGUCCGGUAUCAAUAAUUUAACGAUGGCUUCACUGUCUCUACAACUUGCUCAGUGAAAUUGAAUUACCCGUGCAGAUGCGGGUUGCCACCAGGGGGACGGGAAGACCCUAUGCAGGCUUCUACUGA